Molecule: ribosomal RNA, 460 nt
Filed under: uncultured bacterium
Lineage: Bacteria
Description: partial 16S ribosomal RNA
Rfam family: Bacterial small subunit ribosomal RNA
Source: RNAcentral
CCUACGGGUGGCAGCAGUGAGGAAUAUUGGUCAAUGGACGAGAGUCUGAACCAGCCAAGUAGCGUGAAGGAUGACUGCCCUAUGGGUUGUAAACUUCUGUUAUAAAGGAGUAAAACGAGACAAGUGUGCCUUUUUGCAUGUACUUUAUGAAUAAGGAUCGGCUAACUCCGUGCCAGCAGCCGCGGUAAUACGGAGGGUCCGAGCGUUAUCCGGAUUUAUUGGGUUUAAAGGUAGCGUAGAUGGGUUGGUAAGUCAGUUGUGAAAGUUUGCGGCUCAACCGUAAAAUUGCAAUUGAUACUGGCAGUCGUGAGUACAGUUGAGGUAGGCGGAAUUCGUGGUGUAGCGGUGAAAUGCUUAGAUAUCACGAAGAACCCCGAUUGCGAAGGCAGCUUACUAAACUGUGACUGACAUUGAUGCUCGAAAGUGAGGGUAUCAAACAGGAUUAGAUACCCGUGUAGUC